AGAGUUUGAUCAUGGCUCAGGAUGAACGCUAGCUACAGGCUUAACACAUGCAAGUCGAGGGGAACGACAUCGAAAGCUUGCUUUUGAUGGGCGUCGACCGGCGCACGGGUGAGUAACGCGUAUCCAACCUGCUCACCACUUGGGGAUAACCUUGCGAAAGUAAGACUAAUACCCAAUGACGUCUCUAGAAGACAUCUGAAAGGGAUUAAAGAUUUAUCGGUGAUGGAUGGGGAUGCGUCUGAUUAGCUUGUUGGCGGGGUAACGCCGCAAGGCUACGAUCAGUAGGGGUUCUGAGAGGAAGGUCCCCCANAUUGGAACUGAGACACGGUCCAAACUCCUACGGGAGCA
This 348-nucleotide ribosomal RNA is filed under the name uncultured bacterium. Its description in RNAcentral is "bacterial SSU rRNA". It matches the Rfam family "Bacterial small subunit ribosomal RNA", at positions 8 to 349 of the family's 1533-position model. The record is from RNAcentral.